UGCGCAGCUACCAUGCAAGUCGAGCGGAGAUGAGGUGCUUGCACCUUAUCUUAGCGGCGGACGGGUGAGUAAUGCUUAGGAAUCUGCCUAUUAGUGGGGGACAACAUUCCGAAAGGAAUGCUAAUACCGCAUACGUCCUACGGGAGAAAGCAGGGGAUCUUCGGACCUUGCGCUAAUAGAUGAGCCUAAGUCGGAUUAGCUAGUUGGUGGGGUAAAGGCCUACCAAGGCGACCAUCUGUAGCGGGUCUGAGAGGAUGAUCCGCCACACCGGGACUGAGACACGGCCCAGACUCCUACGGGAGGCAGCAGUGGGGAAUAUAGGACAAAGGGGGGAACCCUGAUCCAGCCAUGCCGCGUGUGUGAAGAAGGCCUUAUGGUUGUAAAGCACUUUAAGCGAGGAGGAGGCUACUGAGACUAAUACUCUUGGAUAGUGGACGUUACUCGCAGAAUAAGCACCGGCUAACUCUGUGCCAGCAGCCGCGGUAAUACAGAGGGUGCGAGCGUUAAUCGGAUUUACUGGGCGUAAAGCGUGCGUAGGCGGCUUUUUAAGUCGGAUGUGAAAUCCCCGAGCUUAACUUGGGAAUUGCAUUCGAUACUGGGAAGCUAGAGUAUGGGAGAGGAUGGUAGAAUUCCAGGUGUAGCGGUGAAAUGCGUAGAGAUCUGGAGGAAUACCGAUGGCGAAGGCAGCCAUCUGGCCUAAUACUGACGCUGAGGUACGAAAGCAUGGGGAGCAAACAGGAUUAGAUACCCUGGUAGUCCAUGCCGUAAACGAUGUCUACUAGCCG
Molecule: ribosomal RNA, 785 nt
Filed under: uncultured bacterium
Lineage: Bacteria
Description: bacterial SSU rRNA
Rfam family: Bacterial small subunit ribosomal RNA
Source: RNAcentral